AUGAACGCUGGCGGCGUGCCUAAUACAUGCAAGUCGAGCGAACAGACGAGGAGCUUUCUCCUCUGACGUUAGCGGCGGACGGGUGAGUAACACGUGGAGAACCUACCUAUAAGACUGGGAUAACUUCGGGAAACCGGAGCUAAUACCGGAUAAUAUAUUGCACCGCAUGGUUCAAUAGUGAAAGACGGUUUUGCUGUCACUUAUAGAUGGAUCCGCGCCGCAUUAGCUAGUUGGUAAGGUAACGGCUUACCAAGGCAACGAUGCGUAGCCGACCUGAGAGGGCGAUCGGCCACACUGGAACUGAGACACGGUCCAGACUCCUACGGGAGGCAGCAGUAGGGAAUCUUCCGCAAUGGGCGAAAGCCUGACGGAGCAACGCCGCGUGAGUGAUGAAGGUCUUCGGAUCGUAAAAUUCUGUUAUUAGGGAAGAACAAAUGUGUAAGUAACUAUGCACGUCUUGACGGUACCUAAUCAGAAAGCCACGGCUAACUACGUG
This 496-nucleotide ribosomal RNA is filed under the name uncultured bacterium. Its description in RNAcentral is "partial 16S ribosomal RNA". It matches the Rfam family "Bacterial small subunit ribosomal RNA", at positions 29 to 507 of the family's 1533-position model. The record is from RNAcentral.